RNAcentral lists this ribosomal RNA (406 nucleotides) under uncultured bacterium. RNAcentral's name for it is "partial 16S ribosomal RNA". It matches the Rfam family "Bacterial small subunit ribosomal RNA", at positions 28 to 526 of the family's 1533-position model. The record is from RNAcentral.
GACGAACGCUGGCGGCGUGCUUAACACAUGCAAGUCGAGCGAGCGGCGAACGGGUGAGUAAUGUCUGGGAAACUGCCCGAUGGAGGGGGAUAACUACUGGAAACGGUAGCUAAUACCGCAUACCAUCGGAUGUGCCCAGAUGGGAUUAGCUAGUAGGUGGGGUAACGGCUCACCUAGGCGACGAUCCCUAGCUGGUCUGAGAGGAUGACCAGCCACACUGGAACUGAGACACGGUCCAGACUCCUACGGGAGGCAGCAGUGGGGAAUAUUGCACAAUGGGCGCAAGCCUGAUGCAGCCAUGCCGCGUGUAUGAAGAAGGCCUUCGGGUUGUAAAGUACUUUCAGCGAGGAGGCGUUACUCGCAGAAGAAGCACCGGCUAACUCCGUGCCAGCAGCCGCGGUAAUUC